CUGAGCAGUGCAGGUGGAGGAGCGGUGGGGGAGCGGUGCAGGCAGGCUAACUCCAGAGAGGACAAUUCUUCCUUCAGUUUUUGAUGUUCAUGUUCCAGGCUUGGCAUCCUUCCCCACCCAUCCACACGCUCUCCCUCAGCAACUGUACUCUGGUAUGGCAUCAGCCACUAUCCAAAUGCUGAUGUCCACGAAAUGACAGCUCCAGCUCCAACCACUUUUCGCAGUUGACAGGAAUUUCGGACAGCCCACGGAAAUUAUCCACCUAGGACUCAAAACUCAACUUGUACAAAACUAGGCCCAUCCUGUUAAUAGCAUUCUGAAUCUUCUCAACUACACAAGCAGGGAAUCUUGGAGUCUUUCUAGAAACUCACUUUCCCUUGCUUGUCAAACUCAGUGGCUCACCUCACCUCCUCCUCCACCUCUCACCUGGAUUCCUCCCUUACCUGGGCUCCUGCCCCCAUGCAGUCUCCCCCAGUACAACCUCCCCCGCCACUGUGGAUCCUUCUAUUACACAGGCUGGGAAGACACACAAGAAACUGAGAAGCUGCUUGUCUCUGGAGAGGGGAGCUGGGGAAAGAGUUGGGAGGAAGGGAAAUUUUCUUUGCAAUGCAUGUUUUCAAUGUCCCCUCAUGUGCCUGUGUAUUACCUCUUCUAAUUUUUAAAAUAAACAUUUAAAAAUAAUGAAACACAGAAAACUUCGCCUAGCUCCCCACUGCCUACAGGACAGUUCAACCUCUUAGCUUGGAAUCCUGUGAAAAUGUGACCCAAACCCGUCUCAUUGGUUUCUGCUCUCCGACAUCACCUGGCUGAAUGGCACAUAAACUCCAGGCUGUUCAAAAGCACUUCUGGGCCAGGUGCGGUCGCUCAUGCCUAUAAUCCCAGCACUUUGGGAGGCUGAGGCGGAUGGAUCACUUGAGGUCAGAAGUUUGAGACCAGCCUGGCCAACAUGGCGAAACCCCGUCUCUACUAAAAAUACAAAAAUUACCUGGGCAUGGUGGCACAUGCCUGUAGUCCCAGCUACUCAGGAGGCUGAGACAGGAGAAUUGCUGGAACCCGGGAGGCGGAGGCUGCAGUGAGCCGAGAAUGCGCCACUGCACUCCAGCCUGGGCAAGAUAGAGUGAGACUCCAUCUCAAAAAAAAAAAAAAAUCGCUUCUGGACCUCUGGAGUUUUCUACACAUUGUUUCCUCUUUAUGGAAAGCUCCACCCUUUGUCAACCGCUGGAACACAUUAGUGAUCCUUUAGAACCAACUCAGACACCAGAUCCACUGGAAGACUUCUGCCUCGGGUGGGAUUCCCACGCCUCCACGUGUGCAGACGCACUGGAGCAUGCCUUUACAACAUGCUUCCACGGGAACUUGCAAACGUGCAUUUACGCACCCCUUCCCAACACGGUUAUGAGCUUUUUGGGGGUCCGCACCAUCCUUUCUUCUUGUCCCCUGGAUCAAUUGAAAUAUCACUCAUUGCCAUUUAAAUUUGUGUUCUUUGCUACAGACUUGAACGCAGGCAGAUAGUCACCGUCUUCAGGACAGUGACUUUGUUUUGCUGCAAGUCCAUUAAGUUACCCAUCACCUUGACGUCCUUCUGUGGAGGUGCUGUCCCGCCAGGCACUCACUGUGACUGCUCUCUUUACACCGUGAGUUCCAUAGCAGCUGCAUGCCAAGAUUACUGUAAAGUCCUGGCUGGGGUAACAGGCAAGAAAGAAUUAUCCGGAUGCUCCAUGGCUACAGCAAAUGGAACCUUUCCAAAAAUGGUGGAUGACAGAGUCCCUCAGCCUAAGGAGAGGACACUAUUGCCCGAGACUCUCUUGCAAAACAGAAAAAUUCUCAGAUAACGUACUUCCCUUGACCUUGAGUGACCCAGGUUUAUAGGCAGAGGGAGGAAAACAAUCUGAAUUACCACCUGCUAAUAAAAAUACUGAAUCUGGCUAGGCACAGUGACUUACACCUGUAAUCCCAGCACUUUGGGAGGCCAAGGCAGGGGGACCACCUGAGGUCAGGAGUUCAAGAACAGCCUGACUAAUAUAGUGAAACCCCAUCUCUACUAAAAAUACAAAAAAAUUAGCCAGGCGUGGUGGCAUGCUCCUAUAGUCCCAGCUACUCGGGAUGCUGAGACAGGAGAAUUGCUUGAAUCCUGGAGGCAGAGGUUGCAGUGAGCCGAUGCACUCCAGCCUGGGCGACAGACCAAGAUUCCAUCUCAAAAAUAAAAUAAAAAUUAAAAUUAAAAUACUGAAUCUAUGUCUACUUGAUUAAACCAAAAUUUCUUCUCCAAGGGUUCCUUCAAAUUUCACGAGGGCAUCUAAUGCUCAAAACCUCCUCUUAUCCAGCCCAUUCUGGGACUAAGAUUUUCUGGUGAAUUCCAGGUCCAGCAGCACCAUCCCUACCGCCAUCCACUACUGCUGCGCUGUAAAAAGAGCCUUCCUACAAGAGCUGACUGCACCGCCCUCCUUGUGUCCUAUUCUCCAUGAACUCCAGCCCAAGGCGCCUCCCACCACUCUCUGACCCAUCUCUCACCAAGGACCUUGAGACCUCCCGAGUGGCUCAAUUCAACCACCAGCUCUCAGGCUUCCCGCAUAUAUCCCACCAAGCAGCACUUCCAGCAGCUGAGCACGCCCUCCGUCCUAAGCACCUUCCUCCCUUGGCUUCCGGAUGUUCUCUUGGUUUUCUCCCCUUUACUGGCUGUUCUUUAGGAUGCCUCUAUCUCCUCAACCUUUGAACAGCGUGCUCAACCCCUGGCCUCGUCCCACGUUAGUUCACAUACACGAAGCUCCCAGGACAGAGCCCGGUGCCCAUCCAUGCUUCCUAAGCACACGCUGGCAGCAUCGUCACUGGUGAUCCCAUCUAAUCUCAUGGGUUUAAAUCCUCCCAUGUUCUAAUGGCUUCUAAAC
RNAcentral lists this long non-coding RNA (2885 nucleotides) under Homo sapiens (human). RNAcentral describes it as "HSALNT0300432". Lineage: Eukaryota; Metazoa; Chordata; Mammalia; Primates; Hominidae. The record is from RNAcentral.